AUUACUACAAGAUUUUAUGAUUCUUUCAUCUUCCCAUUUGAUUUGUAUAUUAUGUUCGUAUAACCUUUCUGCUAACUCUUGAUCCGGUGGCAGGUUGUUGAGCAAACUAGUGUUAAAAGAAAUAAAAGUGACAUAACAUUGAUAAAAAGACAAAAAGUAUCAGUAGAUAUUAAAUUGGAUUGAACAAGAGGACAUAGUUUUAACAAGGGAAGAUAAAAUGAAGAAAAUAGUCAUCCUAAGACGAAUGGAGUAUAAUGCGAUGCUUGAAGAAUAUAUUAAGAACUUGGGAGCAAUAGAACUACCAUCUGAUCCAACAAACAAAUUAAAGGGAAAAAUAGAAAAACUUGCAAAGAAACAGCAUUUUCCGCAAUGGUUAGCCUUUAUAAAUGGAUUCCUAAUCCCACUUGUCCUAGGCUCUUCGGAUAUAUCAAGAAGCAUAAAGAUCCAAUAGCUAUCCAUCCCAUAGUCAAAAAAUGCAGGUUGCCACUUAUAAAUUUUGAACAUGCCUUAGCCAAUUGGUGUCUUAACAAGCUAGGAGCUUAUUUUUAUUUCUUAAUUUUCUUAGUAGUCAAGCAGUAUAGAAGAUAGAUAUUAGAUUUAGUAUUAGUAAUAAGUAGGUUGGCAAUUCUAUAUUAGGCAGU
Molecule: long non-coding RNA, 641 nt
Filed under: Androctonus crassicauda
Lineage: Eukaryota; Metazoa; Arthropoda; Arachnida; Scorpiones; Buthidae
Source: RNAcentral